RNAcentral lists this transfer RNA (71 nucleotides) under Stegodyphus mimosarum. It matches the Rfam family "tRNA". Rfam says of the family: Transfer RNA (tRNA) molecules are approximately 80 nucleotides in length. The record is from Rfam by way of RNAcentral. Lineage: Eukaryota; Metazoa; Arthropoda; Arachnida; Araneae; Eresidae.
GCCUUCGUGGUGCAACGGUAGCACACCUGGCGCGUAUUCGAGAGGUCCAGGUUCGAGUCCCGGCGAAGGCA